Molecule: ribosomal RNA, 677 nt
Filed under: uncultured bacterium
Lineage: Bacteria
Description: bacterial SSU rRNA
Rfam family: Bacterial small subunit ribosomal RNA
Source: RNAcentral
UGCCCAUGUCUGGGGAAUAACCCGUCGAAAGGCGGACUAACUCCCCAUGGUCUCCGAUGAGGACAUCCGAAUUGGAGUAAAGCUUCGCGGACAUGGAUGGGGAUGCGUCUGAUUAGGUAGUAGGCGGGGUAACGGCCCACCUAGCCUACGAUCAGUAGGGGUUCUGAGAGGAAGGUCCCCCACAUUGGAACUGAGACACGGUCCAAACUCCUACGGGAGGCAGCAGUGAGGAAUAUUGGUCAAUGGACGCGAGUCUGAACCAGCCAAGUAGCGUGCAGGAUGACGGCCCUAUGGGUUGUAAACUGCUUUUGCGCGGGGAUAACACCCUCCACGUGCUGGAGGUCUGCAGGUACCGCGCGAAUAAGGACCGGCUAAUUCCGUGCCAGCAGCCGCGGUAAUACGGAAGGUCCGGGCGUUAUCCGGAUUUAUUGGGUUUAAAGGGAGCGUAGGCCGUGAGGUAAGCGUGUUGUGAAAUGUAGGCGCCCAACGUCUGCACUGCAGCGCGAACUGCCCCACUUGAGUGCGCGCAACGCCGGCGGAACUCGUCGUGUAGCGGUGAAAUGCUUAGAUAUGACGAAGAACCCCGAUUGCGAAGGCAGCUGGCGGGAGCGUAACUGACGCUGAAGCUCGAAAGCGCGGGUAUCGAACAGGAUUAGAUACCCUGGUAGUCCGCGCGG